AUUGAACGCUGGCGGCAGGCCUAACACAUGCAAGUCGAACGGUAACAGGAAGAAGCUUGCUUCUUUGCUGACGAGUGGCGGACGGGUGAGGAAUGUCUGGGAAACUGCCUGAUGGAGGGGGAUAACUACUGGAAACGGUAGCUAAUACCGCAUAAUGUCGCAAGACCAAAGAGGGGGACCUUCGGGCCUCUCGCCAUCGGAUGUGCCCAGAUGGGAUUAGCUAGUAGGUGGGGUAACGGCUCACCUAGGCGACGAUCCCUAGCUGGUCUGAGAGGAUGACCAGCCACACUGGAACUGAGACACGGUCCAGACUCCUACGGGAGGCAGCAGUAGGGAAUAUUGCACAAUGGGCGCAAGCCUGAUGCAGCCAUGCCGCGUGUAUGAAGAAGGCCUUCGGGUUGUAAAGUACUUUCAGCGGGGAGGAAGAGAGUAAAGUUAAUACCUUUGCUCAUUGACGUUACCCGCAGAAGAAGCACCGGCUAACUCCGUG
This 490-nucleotide ribosomal RNA is filed under the name uncultured bacterium. RNAcentral describes it as "partial 16S ribosomal RNA". It matches the Rfam family "Bacterial small subunit ribosomal RNA", at positions 30 to 507 of the family's 1533-position model. The record is from RNAcentral.